AAUAGAUACCCAGGUAGUCCACGCCGUAAACGAUGAGUGCUAAGUGUUAGAGGGUUUCCGCCCUUUAGUGCUGCAGCUAACGCAUUAAGCACUCCGCCUGGGGAGUACGGUCGCAAGACUGAAACUCAAAGGAAUUGACGGGGGCCCGCACAAGCGGUGGAGCAUGUGGUUUAAUUCGAAGCAACGCGAAGAACCUUACCAGGUCUUGACAUCCUCUGACAACUCUAGAGAUAGAGCGUUCCCCUUCGGGGGACAGAGUGACAGGUGGUGCAUGGUUGUCGUCAGCUCGUGUCGUGAGAUGUUGGGUUAAGUCCCGCAACGAGCGCAACCCUUGAUCUUAGUUGCCAGCAUUUAGUUGGGCACUCUAAGGUGACUGCCGGUGACAAACCGGAGGAAGGUGGGGAUGACGUCAAAUCAUCAUGCCCCUUAUGACCUGGGCUACACACGUGCUACAAUGGAUGGUACAAAGGGCUGCAAGACCGCGAGGUCAAGCCAAUCCCAUAAAACCAAUUCUCAGUUCGGAUUGU
This 527-nucleotide ribosomal RNA is filed under the name uncultured bacterium. Its description in RNAcentral is "bacterial SSU rRNA". It matches the Rfam family "Bacterial small subunit ribosomal RNA", at positions 777 to 1301 of the family's 1533-position model. The record is from RNAcentral.